This 120-nucleotide ribosomal RNA is filed under the name uncultured bacterium. RNAcentral's name for it is "partial 16S ribosomal RNA". It matches the Rfam family "Bacterial small subunit ribosomal RNA", at positions 29 to 148 of the family's 1533-position model. The record is from RNAcentral.
AACGAACGCUGGCGGCGCGUUUUAAGCAUGCAAGUCGAACGGUAACAGGCCUUCGGGCGCUGACGAGUGGCGAACGGGUGAGUAACACGUAGGUGAUCUGCCCAUAGGUUGGGGAUAUAC